AGGUGUGAUCAUACCAACACUAAUGCACCAGAUACCAUCAGAACUCCGCAGAUAAGCAUGCUUGGGUGAGAGUAGUACUAGGAUGGGUGACCUCCUGCAACGUCCUCGUGUUGCACCUC
RNAcentral lists this ribosomal RNA (119 nucleotides) under Lupinus angustifolius (narrow-leaved blue lupine). The record is from RNAcentral. Lineage: Eukaryota; Viridiplantae; Streptophyta; Magnoliopsida; Fabales; Fabaceae.